GAUUAAUACCGCAUAUGCCGAGAGUAAAAGUAGCAAUACGCCAGAAGAUCGGCCUGCGGCAUUAUUUAAUCCUAGUUGGUGAGGUAACGGCUCACCAAGGGUACGAUGGGUAGCUGGUCUGAGAGGACGAUCAGCCACACUGGGACUGAGACACGGCCCAGACUCCUACGGGAGGCAGCAGUGGGGAAUAUUGGACAAUGGGCGCAAGUGAUCCAGCCACGCCGCGUGAGUGAUGAAGGCCUUAGGGUUGUAAAGCUCUGUCGUGAGGGAAGAAGAUCUGACGGUACCUCACAAGAAAGCACCGGCUAACUCCGUGCCAGCAGCCGCGGUAAUACGGAGGGUGCAAGCGUUGCUCGGAAUUACUGGGCGUAAAGCGCACGCAGGCGGUUUGUCAGGUCGGAUGUGAAAGCCCGGGGCUCAACCCCGAACUGCAUUCGAAACCGGCAGACUUGAGUUCGAGAGAGGGUGGUGGAAUUCCUGGUGUAGAGGUGAAAUUCGUUGAUAUCAGGAGGAACACCGGUGGCGAAGGGACCACCUGGCUCGAUACUGACGCUCAUGUGCGAAAGGUGGGGAGCAAACAGGAUUAGAUACCCUGGUAGUCCACGCCGUAAACGUUGAAUGCUAGGUGUCGGGGGUAUCACCCCCUCGGUGCCGGAGUUAACGCAUUAAGCAUUCCGCCUGGGGAGUACGGUCGCAAGAUUAAAACUCAAAGGAAUUGACGGGGG
This 725-nucleotide ribosomal RNA is filed under the name uncultured bacterium. RNAcentral's name for it is "bacterial SSU rRNA". It matches the Rfam family "Bacterial small subunit ribosomal RNA", at positions 161 to 919 of the family's 1533-position model. The record is from RNAcentral.